This 450-nucleotide ribosomal RNA is filed under the name uncultured bacterium. Its description in RNAcentral is "partial 16S ribosomal RNA". It matches the Rfam family "Bacterial small subunit ribosomal RNA", at positions 354 to 796 of the family's 1533-position model. The record is from RNAcentral.
GUGGGGAAUAUUGGACAAUGGGCGAAAGCCUGAUCCAGCCAUGCCGCGUGUGUGAAGAAGGUCUUCGGAUUGUAAAGCACUUUAAGUUGGGAGGAAGGGUAGUAACCUAAUACGUUGCUACUUUGACGUUACCGACAGAAUAAGCACCGGCUAACUUCGUGUCAGCAGCCGCGGUAAUACGAAGGGUGCAAGCGUUAAUCGGAAUUACUGGGCGUAAAGCGCGCGUAGGUGGUUUUGUAAGUUGGAGGUGAAAUCCCCGGGCUCAACCUGGGAACUGCCUCCAAAACUGCAUGACUAGAGUACGGUAUAGGGUAGUGGAAUUUCCUGUGUAGCGGUGAAAUGCGUAGAUAUAGGAAGGAACACCAGUGGCGAAGGCGACUACCUGGACUGAUACUGACACUGAGGUGCGAAAGCGUGGGGAGCAAACAGGAUUAGAUACCCUUGUAGUCC